AUUGAUUAUUUAAAUCCCCUAGGAUGCGAGAUCCAAAUUUUUUCUCUAGACCAAUUUCCUCAGAGGAAAUAGUUGAUACAGAAAGAGGAUAUAAAAUCCACGUCUCUGAAGAAGCAUUACAGAGGAGCAGCAAUAGACGGGGGAAAACCUAUAAGGAAGUGGAUUUGAUUGUGUCUAUUCUCAACGAGGCUUUCUUCAGGGUCAGCAGCAGUUCAGACACCAAAGAGGGAAAUGACUCACAUGAGUCAAAACCAGUAUUUUGCAUGGGCAAAGUGUGUUGGGAGUUUGGCUUGGUGUGAAAGAAAUUCGCAACCUUUCUCAGCCUGUUCAACUCAGAUUCAUAAACACCAAUCAGAGUGAAAAUGGAAUUUGUGUCUACUGGCAUAUUGAUAAAAA
Long non-coding RNA from Cyprinus carpio (common carp), 396 nucleotides. RefSeq lists it as uncharacterized. NCBI's taxonomy places the organism in Eukaryota, Metazoa, Chordata, Actinopteri, Cypriniformes, Cyprinidae. The record is from RefSeq and is a predicted model, not a curated record. The transcript is spliced from 4 exons.